GACGAACGCUGGCGGCGUGCCUAAUACAUGCAAGUAGAACGCUGAAGGAGGAGCUUGCUUCUCUGGAUGAGUUGCGAACGGGUGAGUAACGCGUAGGUAACCUGCCUGGUAGCGGGGGAUAACUAUUGGAAACGAUAGCUAAUACCGCAUAAUAGCAGUUAUUGCAUGAUAACUGUUUGAAAGGUGCAAUUGCACCACUACCAGAUGGACCUGCGUUGUAUUAGCUAGUUGGUGGGGUAACGGCUCACCAAGGCGACGAUACAUAGCCGACCUGAGAGGGUGAUCGGCCUCACUGGGACUGAGACACGGCCCAGACUCCUACGGGAGGCAGCAGUAGGGAAUCUUCGGCAAUAGACGGAAGUCUGACCGAGCAACGCCGCGUGAGUGAAGAAGGUUGUCGGAUCGUAAAGCUCUGUUGUAAGAGAAGAACGAGUGUGAGAGUGGAAAGUUCACACUGUGACGGUAUCUUACCAGAAAGGGACGGCUAACUACGUG
Molecule: ribosomal RNA, 495 nt
Filed under: uncultured bacterium
Lineage: Bacteria
Description: partial 16S ribosomal RNA
Rfam family: Bacterial small subunit ribosomal RNA
Source: RNAcentral